UUGCAUUCGCUAUGUGGCUGGCACUGGCUCUCUCUGUGGCUCCCUUGGGCUCCCUAUGUGGCUUGCCCUGGCUCCCUAUGCGGCUUGCACUGGCACUCUAAGUGGCUUGCAUCAGCUCCCUAUGUGGCUUGCACCAGCUCCCUAUGCAGCUGGCACUAGCUCUCCACGUGGCUUGCAUUCACUAUGUGGCUGGCACUGCCUCCCUCUGUGGCUCCCUUGGGCUCCCUGUGUGGCUCCCUUGGGCUCCCUAUGCGGCUUGCACUGGCACUCUAAGUGGCUUGCCCUGGCUCCCUCUGCGGCUGGCACCGGCUCUCUGUGUCUCGCCUCGGCUCCGCCCGUGUCUCGCCCGGCUCCCCGCGCGGCCCCCACGGCGCCAGCCCCGCACCGCGCCCUGAGCAGCGCACGCAUCCCGUGCUCGGUCGCCACUUCAUUGCAGCCCGUCAGCCCCACGACGAGUCGUAGCCCGCCCAGCCCUCGUCGGGCGCCAGGUAGACGCGGCGCCCGCGGUGCACGAAGGUGACGACGCCGCGGUAGGCGGCCCUGGGCACGCCGGCCUUCAGGUCGUCCAUGAGCCCCAGGGCCUUGGCGGCGGCGCGGAACGCGUCCCUGCCUCCGUAGCGCAGCCGCAGCGCCCCGCCGCCGCCGCCGCCGCCGCCGGCCCGCAGCUCGUCCAGGCGCACGGGGCGGGCGGCGCUCAGCUGCGCCGCCCAGCGGCGGUCGAAGGCGUCGCGCCGCAGGUAGCCGAGGUCCAUGCGGGUGAAGGGCACGAAGCGGCGGUUGAGCGCCAUGUGCCGCAGGUGCUGCUCGAAGAACUGGCCGUGGCUGACGCCCUUGCGGCCGAACGUGACGGUGCGGGACACCUCCGGCCUCACGCACGCCCGGCCGCGGCGCUGCUCGGGUUGCCGCAUCCAAUCGUCCCAAAAAGCGGGCGGCCACUUGGGCUCCAGCUCGUCCCAAAGGCGUUCGGUCAGCAGCCAACCCAAACCGGGGAAGAAAUCGGUGCGGUACAGCAGCUCCGGUCGAGCGGCGUCCACCAGCUGCUCCUUGCCGUUGUCGUGCCAAGCGGAGACGCACCAAAGGCUGCCGUCCUCCAAGAGUAAAGGAUAAACGGCUUGGAAAUACUCGUAAAAAUCCGGAGCCACUUCCAGGUCGUCCUCCACCACGAUGGCGGCCGGGUAACGUAGGACGCGGAAAACGUGAGCCAAAGCCCACCGGUAAUGACGGGAGAUUUUGUAGUAACCCAAGAAUUUGCGGUGUUCAUCCGGGACGGAUGGAGCUUCGGAUCCGUGGGGAGGAUGAAGGUGGGUGAUGGAAUCGCCGUAGGAUGAGAUGACGGCCGCCGUUUCGCGGUGCCCGCAGUCUUGGCUGACGAUGAUGGGGAAGCGUUGGGCCGAAGGACGAUAGCGGAGUAAAGAAUCCAAACAGCGGCGGACAGAAGUGCGGUCGCAAGCCAGGACCAGGAUGGGGAGGGUGGGAAGGGAUGGGGAUGGGGUGGGAAAA
RNAcentral lists this long non-coding RNA (1500 nucleotides) under Phasianus colchicus (ring-necked pheasant). Its description in RNAcentral is "lncRNA (ENSPCLG00000017618.1)". The record is from RNAcentral. Lineage: Eukaryota; Metazoa; Chordata; Aves; Galliformes; Phasianidae.